Molecule: ribosomal RNA, 253 nt
Filed under: uncultured bacterium
Lineage: Bacteria
Description: partial 16S ribosomal RNA
Rfam family: Bacterial small subunit ribosomal RNA
Source: RNAcentral
UACGUAGGGUGCGAGCGUUAAUCGGAAUUACUGGGCGUAAAGCGUGCGCAGGCGGUUUUGCAAGUCAGAUGUGAAAUCCCCGGGCUUAACCUGGGAAUGGCAUUUGGGACUGCAAGGCUCGAGUGCGGCAGAGGAGACUGGAAUUCCUGGUGUAGCAGUGAAAUGCGUAGAUAUCAGGGGGAACACCGAUGGCGAAGGCAGGUCUCUGGGCUGACACUGACGCUCAUGCACGAAAGCGUGGGGAGCAAACAGG